Molecule: ribosomal RNA, 310 nt
Filed under: uncultured bacterium
Lineage: Bacteria
Description: bacterial SSU rRNA
Rfam family: Bacterial small subunit ribosomal RNA
Source: RNAcentral
GUGCCAGCAGCCGCGGUAAUACGGAGGGUGCGAGCGUUGUCCGGAAUCACUGGGCGUAAAGGGCGCGUAGGCGGCAUGCCAAGCGUGUGGUGAAAGCCCGGGGCUCAACCCCGGGUCGGCCGUGCGGACUGGCGUGCUCGAGCACUGUAGGGGCGGGUGGAAUUCCGGGUGUAGCGGUGGAAUGCGUAGAGAUCCGGAAGAACACCGGUGGCGAAGGCGGCCCGCUGGGCAGGAAGACACCGCAAGGUGUCGGCUGACGCUGAGGCGCGACAGCGUGGGGAGCAAACAGGAUUAGAUACCCUGGUAGUCC